Molecule: ribosomal RNA, 2990 nt
Filed under: Salmonella enterica subsp. enterica serovar Corvallis
Lineage: Bacteria; Pseudomonadati; Pseudomonadota; Gammaproteobacteria; Enterobacterales; Enterobacteriaceae
Description: 23S ribosomal RNA
Rfam family: Bacterial large subunit ribosomal RNA
Source: RNAcentral
GGUUAAGCGACUAAGCGUACACGGUGGAUGCCCUGGCAGUCAGAGGCGAUGAAGGGCGUGCUAAUCUGCGAUAAGCGCCGGUAAGGUGAUAUGAACCGUUAUAACCGGCGAUACCCGAAUGGGGAAACCCAGUGUGACUCGUCACACUAUCAUUAACUGAAUCCAUAGGUUAAUGAGGCGAACCGGGGGAACUGAAACAUCUAAGUACCCCGAGGAAAAGAAAUCAACCGAGAUUCCCCCAGUAGCGGCGAGCGAACGGGGAGGAGCCCAGAGCCUGAAUCAGCAUGUGUGUUAGUGGAAGCGUCUGGAAAGGCGCGCGAUACAGGGUGACAGCCCCGUACACAAAAGCGCAUGUGCUGUGAGCUCGAUGAGUAGGGCGGGACACGUGGUAUCCUGUCUGAAUAUGGGGGGACCAUCCUCCAAGGCUAAAUACUCCUGACUGACCGAUAGUGAACCAGUACCGUGAGGGAAAGGCGAAAAGAACCCCGGCGAGGGGAGUGAAAAAGAACCUGAAACCGUGUACGUACAAGCAGUGGGAGCACCCUUUGGGGUGUGACUGCGUACCUUUUGUAUAAUGGGUCAGCGACUUAUAUUCUGUAGCAAGGUUAACCGAAUAGGGGAGCCGGAGGGAAACCGAGUCUUAAUUGGGCGUUAAGUUGCAGGGUAUAGACCCGAAACCCGGUGAUCUAGCCAUGGGCAGGUUGAAGGUUGGGUAACACUAACUGGAGGACCGAACCGACUAAUGUUGAAAAAUUAGCGGAUGACCUGUGGCUGGGGGUGAAAGGCCAAUCAAACCGGGAGAUAGCUGGUUCUCCCCGAAAGCUAUUUAGGUAGCGCCUCGUGAAUUCAUCUCCGGGGGUAGAGCACUGUUUCGGCUAGGGGGCCAUCCCGGCUUACCAACCCGAUGCAAACUGCGAAUACCGGAGAAUGUUAUCACGGGAGACACACGGCGGGUGCUAACGUCCGUCGUGAAGAGGGAAACAACCCAGACCGCCAGCUAAGGUCCCAAAGUCAUGGUUAAGUGGGAAACGAUGUGGGAAGGCCCAGACAGCCAGGAUGUUGGCUUAGAAGCAGCCAUCAUUUAAAGAAAGCGUAAUAGCUCACUGGUCGAGUCGGCCUGCGCGGAAGAUGUAACGGGGCUAAACCAUGCACCGAAGCUGCGGCAGCGAACGUAUCACCCAAGACAACUUUACGGAGUUGACGAUUGACGGAGCGAAGCGACGUCAAAGCGUUCAUUAAAGUCGAGUUGGCUUAGGGAUACGUUCGUUGGGUAGGGGAGCGUUCUGUAAGCCUGUGAAGGUGGCCUGUGAGGGUUGCUGGAGGUAUCAGAAGUGCGAAUGCUGACAUAAGUAACGAUAAAGCGGGUGAAAAGCCCGCUCGCCGGAAGACCAAGGGUUCCUGUCCAACGUUAAUCGGGGCAGGGUGAGUCGACCCCUAAGGCGAGGCCGAAAGGCGUAGUCGAUGGGAAACGGGUUAAUAUUCCCGUACUUGGUGUUACUGCGAAGGGGGGACGGAGAAGGCUAUGUUGGCCGGGCGACGGUUGUCCCGGUUUAAGCGUGUAGGUGUGUGUUCCAGGUAAAUCCGGUUCACUUUAACACUGAGGCGUGACGACGAGGCACUACGGUGCUGAAGCAACAAAUGCCCUGCUUCCAGGAAAAGCCUCUAAGCAUCAGGUAACAUCAAAUCGUACCCCAAACCGACACAGGUGGUCAGGUAGAGAAUACCAAGGCGCUUGAGAGAACUCGGGUGAAGGAACUAGGCAAAAUGGUGCCGUAACUUCGGGAGAAGGCACGCUGACACGUAGGUGAAGUGAUUUACUCAUGGAGCUGAAGUCAGUCGAAGAUACCAGCUGGCUGCAACUGUUUAUUAAAAACACAGCACUGUGCAAACACGAAAGUGGACGUAUACGGUGUGACGCCUGCCCGGUGCCGGAAGGUUAAUUGAUGGGGUCAGCGCAAGCGAAGCUCCUGAUCGAAGCCCCGGUAAACGGCGGCCGUAACUAUAACGGUCCUAAGGUAGCGAAAUUCCUUGUCGGGUAAGUUCCGACCUGCACGAAUGGCGUAAUGAUGGCCAGGCUGUCUCCACCCGAGACUCAGUGAAAUUGAACUCGCUGUGAAGAUGCAGUGUACCCGCGGCAAGACGGAAAGACCCCGUGAACCUUUACUAUAGCUUGACACUGAACAUUGAGCCUUGAUGUGUAGGAUAGGUGGGAGGCUUUGAAGUGUGGACGCCAGUCUGCAUGGAGCCGACCUUGAAAUACCACCCUUUAAUGUUUGAUGUUCUAACGUGGACCCGUAAUCCGGGUUGCGGACAGUGUCUGGUGGGUAGUUUGACUGGGGCGGUCUCCUCCUAAAGAGUAACGGAGGAGCACGAAGGUUGGCUAAUCCUGGUCGGACAUCAGGAGGUUAGUGCAAUGGCAUAAGCCAGCUUGACUGCGAGCGUGACGGCGCGAGCAGGUGCGAAAGCAGGUCAUAGUGAUCCGGUGGUUCUGAAUGGAAGGGCCAUCGCUCAACGGAUAAAAGGUACUCCGGGGAUAACAGGCUGAUACCGCCCAAGAGUUCAUAUCGACGGCGGUGUUUGGCACCUCGAUGUCGGCUCAUCACAUCCUGGGGCUGAAGUAGGUCCCAAGGGUAUGGCUGUUCGCCAUUUAAAGUGGUACGCGAGCUGGGUUUAGAACGUCGUGAGACAGUUCGGUCCCUAUCUGCCGUGGGCGCUGGAGAACUGAGGGGGGCUGCUCCUAGUACGAGAGGACCGGAGUGGACGCAUCACUGGUGUUCGGGUUGUCAUGCCAAUGGCACUGCCCGGUAGCUAAAUGCGGAAGAGAUAAGUGCUGAAAGCAUCUAAGCACGAAACUUGCCCCGAGAUGAGUUCUCCCUGAGACUUUAGGUCUCCUGAAGGAACGUUGAAGACGACGACGUUGAUAGGCCGGGUGUGUAAGCGCAGCGAUGCGUUGAGCUAACCGGUACUAAUGAACCGUGAGGCUUAACCUU